UACGUAGGGGGCAAGCGUUGUCCGGAAUCAUUGGGCGUAAAGGGCGCGCAGGCGGCGGACCAAGUCAGGCGUGAAAGCCCCGGGCUUAACCUGGGAGGUGCGUCUGGGACUGGUACGCUAGAGUUCGGGAGAGGAGAGUGGAAUUCCCAGUGUAGAGGUGAAAUUCGUAGAUAUUGGGAAGAACACCGGUGGCGAAGGCGGCUCUCUGGACCGAGACUGACGCUGAGGCUCGAAAGCGUGGGGAGCAAACAGG
Molecule: ribosomal RNA, 253 nt
Filed under: uncultured bacterium
Lineage: Bacteria
Description: partial 16S ribosomal RNA
Rfam family: Bacterial small subunit ribosomal RNA
Source: RNAcentral